GAUGGUGAAAGGAUUAGAAGAAUCCAAUGGCUUGUGUCAACGUUCAACCAAAAUGGAGAAGUGCGUGAAUGAGUGGAUAUUAAGACUGACCAAGACGUUCAUAGGAUGAUGCGUUACAUGUUCAAAAUUGUUUUUAUGGUUGUAACCGCAUAGUUAUUGUAUUGUAGUUGUUUUAAUUGUUUGCGUUGUUGUUUAUGUAAUGAUAUUUGCUCACAAACUUAUAAUAUGAAAUAAAUUUAGUUUUUCAUAUAUUA
Molecule: long non-coding RNA, 254 nt
Filed under: Lathyrus oleraceus (garden pea)
Lineage: Eukaryota; Viridiplantae; Streptophyta; Magnoliopsida; Fabales; Fabaceae
Description: Pisum sativum (pea) long non-coding RNA (PSAT_LNC016460)
Source: RNAcentral